GGACAACCCGCCGAAAGGCGGGCUAAACCCGCGUACAUGCCACCGGGGCAUCCCGGAGGCAGGAAAGGCUUCGGCCGGACAGGGAUGGGCAUGCGGCGCAUUAGGCAGUAGGCGGGGUAACGGCCCACCUAACCGACGAUGCGUAGGGGUUCUGAGAGGAAGGUCCCCCACACUGGUACUGAGACACGGACCAGACUCCUACGGGAGGCAGCAGUGAGGAAUAUUGAUCAAUGGUCGGGAGACUGAACCAGCCAAGCCGCGUGAGGGAUGAAGGUACAGAGUAUCGUAAACCUCUUUUGUCAGGGAACAAAGACUGGGACGCGUCCCCGGAUGAGUGUACCUGAAGAAAAAGCAUCGGCUAACUCCGUGCCAGCAGCCGCGGUAAUACGGAGGAUGCGAGCGUUAUCCGGAUUUAUUGGGUUUAAAGGGUGCGCAGGCGGUCUGUUAAGUCAGCGGUCAAAGCCCGGGGCUCAACCCCGGCCCGCCGUUGAAACUGGCAGUCUCGAGUUGGAGAGAAGUAUGCGGAAUGCGCGGUGUAGCGGUGAAAUGCAUAGAUAUCGCGCAGAACUCCGAUUGCGAAGGCAGCAUGCCGGCUCCACACUGACGCUGAGGCACGAAAGCGUGGGUAUCGAACAGGAUUAGAUACCCUGGUAGUCCACGCAGUAAACGAUGAAUGCUGGCUGUCCGGGGGGACUGACCCCUGGG
Molecule: ribosomal RNA, 705 nt
Filed under: uncultured bacterium
Lineage: Bacteria
Description: bacterial SSU rRNA
Rfam family: Bacterial small subunit ribosomal RNA
Source: RNAcentral